CUGAACUGUAUGACUUUACCACUGUUUGUUUAUAAAGUCAUCUGUUGAUGGGCAUUUGGGUUGUUUCCAUUUAUGAUGUUUAUGAAUGAAGCUACUCUAAACAUUCUCAGUUGAUUUUUGUGUGAACAGAAUGUUUCAUUUCUCUUACCAUAAAUACCAAGGAGCUGGAUUGCUGUUGUCACAUGGGAAGUAUACAUUAAACAUCACCAGAAACUGUUUUCUAAAGUGGCUGUACCAUUUUCCAUUCUCAUCUGCAAUGUUUGAGAGCUCCAGUUGCUCACACCAUCCGUGAAAUGAUGAGAUGAUGACUAGCUCAGGUGAUGUUCAUGGAGACUAAAUGUUAACAGAAGAUGCUAAACCUCUGGCUUUCAUGGUCUACUAGGAAACACAGAUGAAUGAACAAGAGAAAUGACUCUUGGUAACAAAGAUUCUGGUGCUGAGAAACAAGAGUAUGGUAAAAGUAAGACUAUUAGUUUUCAACUGUUGGCCUAUGGACUUUACACAUGUGUAAUGAGAGAGAAUAAUGCCUUUUCAAUUUGCGAUGUUAUAGUCUCAUUCUUUUAUUUAAUGAGGAACAUUUUCCUUUGAAUGCCAGGUAAGACACAGAGAUUGUAAACUGAUUUCACCAUAGGUUGACAGUAUCCACUCACAGACAUGAAUAAAUGUGUUAAAGAAUUUAGUUCCUUUUCUGGAAUAUGGACUCUGUAGUCUCUGCAGUCUCCCUGCUGUUGAUUGAAGGUAAAAAUCACUUUUGUCUACACCACUGUCACUAAUGGGGUAGUGUCAGUUCUGGACUUAUGAGUAUGUUACCACUGAAUAUUUGUUCAGUGGGAUGAAGACAUUGUUUAUGUUAUCUGUAUAUUAUUUGAAUAUUUCAUUGGCUGGAGAAUGAUGCUUUAAGCCUUUUUGACAAGUAUUGGGUUGGCCAAAAUGUUCAUUUGGGUUUUUCUGUGCCAUCUUAUGGUGGGGAAAAAAUGAGCGAGCUUUUUGGCCAUCUCAAUAUCUGUAUUUUAAGGACCAGACAUUUCCACCUGAUUGUGAUCAAAAUGCCAAAUAAAGUCUCGCAUAGAAACAGGUUGCCUCCCAAUUGGAAUAUUUUAAAUGGUUUACCUGAAAAUCAGUAAUUCCACCCAACAAGUUAAUUUGUUCAAAUACUUGGAGAUACCCAACUUGGCAGAAUCAUUUCAAUAAAGUGCUACUUCAGAUUAGAUUGUCUACAACAAAGUAAUAAGCUAGGAUGAUUUAAGUUUAUGGAAAUGUUUUUCCUUUAAUUUUUCUAAGUCAAGAUGAUGUCUUCCAUGUCCUAUGAUUCUGAACUCUGAGAACACAACAGGAUUUUUGUCUAAGCACUAUUAGACAAAAUUAAUUUUUUUAAGGGAACAUUUGGCUUUGCCUAAAGGCAACCCUAUAGGUAGUUCUAUGUAUAGGUGGGCUAGCUCUGCCUUAGUAAGAAUACAAUUUAGGUCUAUGAAUUGUCAUCUAACAUGAUGUUAGCUUAGUUUUUAGCUUAUAAGAUACUGAAAGUAUAUGGGUUUCACUUUAAUCAAUAGCUUGAGAUAUCAGAAUUCUAGACAAUGCUUCUGAGAGCCCAACUUUGAAGUUACUGCUAUCCAGCUCCUGAUAAUGGUACAGUUGAGACAAUUGAUAUUUGAGAGAGAAUUAUGCUGCUACAUUCACUGUCAAUUCUUCUAGUUUCUUAUACUUCUAUCCCUAUACCAUGUUAGACACACAGAAGGCAAUGAGCCUCUAUUAGAUGAUUUUUCAUUGGAAGUACUUUCACUUGAG
RNAcentral lists this long non-coding RNA (1785 nucleotides) under Capra hircus (goat). RNAcentral describes it as "lncRNA (ENSCHIG00000003967.1)". The record is from RNAcentral. Lineage: Eukaryota; Metazoa; Chordata; Mammalia; Artiodactyla; Bovidae.